This is a long non-coding RNA of Dreissena polymorpha, 446 nucleotides long. RefSeq lists it as uncharacterized. Lineage: Eukaryota; Metazoa; Mollusca; Bivalvia; Myida; Dreissenidae. The record is from RefSeq and is a predicted model, not a curated record. The transcript has 3 exons.
GACAUUGCUUGGCGCGUGGUAUAAAUCGAUUUAGUUUGUGUUGGGAGAAUUCAGUUGACAAGUUUUGGAGGAGUGAUUCUUAUGUUUCUGCGAAAAGACGAACACAAAAGUUAUUUAAAAUGUGUAUGAAGGUUAUAUGUGAAACUUGCAAGAAAGUCACGUGGAAAGGUUGUGGUGCUCACGUGGAGCAGGUGUUGAAGGAUGUCCCCCAGGACCAGAGGUGCAAAUGUCCAAGAAAAUAGACAAUAUACAGUUCAAGAUUACGAGGAGCCAUUUAACAGUUCAACGCGCCACUUGCCUUUCGACUCAUCACAUCUUCUUGUUUAGUUAUGUUGAGCUCAUUGUUCACUGUUUCACAAAACUAUACGUACAUAGUUUGCUGUUAUUUUGUACAUUUUAGUUGUGUAAAUACGUUGUUUAAUUUAAAUAAAUGUUCUUAAAUUGUU